This 134-nucleotide long non-coding RNA is filed under the name Callithrix jacchus (white-tufted-ear marmoset). RNAcentral's name for it is "lncRNA (ENSCJAG00000079393.1)". The record is from RNAcentral. Lineage: Eukaryota; Metazoa; Chordata; Mammalia; Primates; Cebidae.
AUGGCAGUCACUCUCACUGAUGGAAUGUAAAUUAGAAUUUACUAGCAAAAAAUUCUGGGAAAUGUGCUCUUCAGAACUUAAAAAAUUCUGCAUCUCCAUGAAGCCAUAGUCUGCUGGGAAACAAUGGGUUUUUU